AACGAAGUGAAUUGAAAUAUCUUAGUAACUUUAGGAAAAGAAAUCAAACGAGAUUGUUAUUUGGUGCAAACUAAAUAACAAGAGCCUAUUAACAAAACUUGUUAAAGUAAAAUGGAUUAAAAUCUGUUUGAAUAUAGGGGAACCUUCCUCUAAGGCUAAAUAUGAUAUAUAAGCGAUAGUGAAAAGUACCGUGAGGUAAAAUUUGAAAUAGUAGUUUUAUAAGCAGCUCGAGUGAAAAUUUAAAUAAGUAAUAAGAGUGUACCUUUUGCAUAAUGGGUCAGCAAGUUAAUUUUAGAUGCAAGCAAUGAUUUCGUGCGCUUUGCGCAUGGAACUAGCUUAGAUAAACCAAUUAUGAGAAAAUGAAUAAGUAUCUAGAAUUAGACCCGAAGGCUAGUGAUCUUACCAUGGUCAGGGUUAUAAAAGCCCGAACGGGUUAUCGUUGUAUAGAUAUCCGAAGAAUUGUGGUAAGUUAGUGAAAGACAAAACUGACUAGUAUAGCUGGUUUUCCGCGAAACCUAUAUGAGUAGGUAAUUUAACUAACAUCUUAGCAGGUACAGAACUGUGAUCUCGGACAAUAUCUUUUGAUUUUGUCAACAUCGGGGGGUUGUAGUGACUUUACCGGAGAGUAUUUGCACUCGGAAUGGCAAAGAUGAAUGUUGAAUAAUCGGACAUAGUGCGAUAAGGUUGUAUGUCUAAAGGGAAACAGCCCAGAACAAGAGUUAAGGUUCCAAAAUUAUUGUUGAGUGAAAUUAAGGAUGUUUUUUUUAAAAACAAUCAGGAAAUAGGCUUAGAAGCGGCCAUUUUUUGAAGACCUCGUAACAGAGCACUGAUUAAUUAAAUUUAGAAAAAAACACCGAAAAUUUAACGGAUCUAAACAAUAUACCGAAACCUUGUACACAUAUUUAUAAUAUUAAUAUUGUAUAUGUGGGGUAGCGGAACAUUGGAUAAAUAUUAAUUAUUAUUUCUUCUAAGAAGUAAUAAGUAUGGAUUAUUAUUAAAAAUAUUUAUUUAUUAAAGAUAUUUAUGUAAUAUUAUUAUACCUAAAAGGUAUAAUGUUUAGAUGAAUAUAUAGAUAGAUUAUAUCUGUCUUUAUUAUUAAUAUAAUCCAUCGAUAUAAUCCAAGAGAGAAUGCUGACAUGAGUAACGAAAAAGGAAUAUCCUCGCCUUAAGCUUAUGGUAUUAUAUUUAAUUUUCGGUAUCUAAAAGUAUUAAUCAAAAGGUAAUUUUGAUGAUAUUUAUAUAUAAAUACUUAAAAAUAAAAAACAAAACCUUUAACAAGUAAUAAAGGUUCUGGAAAAUUUUUUAUUUUUAUAAAGUGAAGUAUAGUACAAUAUAGAUAUAUUAUAAUCUAUAUAAUUUUCUUGUUACAAGUUUUCAAGAUUGUAUAGAUUUUAUCUAUAUUAAAUAUAUUUUCUUUUUUAUACUAUUGUAUAAGUAAGGUUUAUAUAUACCGUACCUAGAUACUAUCACAAGUAAGCAAGUAGAGAAUACAAAGGCGUUUGAGUGAACAAUCAUUAAGGAACUCGGCAAAUUGACUACCGUAACUUCGGGAUAAGGAGGGCCAUUAUGAUUAGUUUAACAUAUCUUAUGAUAUGAUUUAAUUAAACUAAUCAUAAGAGGAAACAUGAAAUAAUGUUGUACGACUGUUUAAUAAAAACACAGCACUCUGCAAAGAUAAAAUAUCAAAGUAUUGAGUGUGAUGUCUGCCCAAUGUCGGCUGGGUAACGGAUUUACCUUGGUUUUUAACUGAGGUUUUGAAGGAUACCCCGAUUAAUGGCGGCCUUACCUAUGAGGGUCCUAAGGUAGCGAAAUACCUUGGCCGUUAAAUGCGGUCCUGCAUGAAUGACUUAACGAUACAACAGCUGUCUCGAUGAUUGUCUCAGUGAAAUUGGAAUAGCAGUGCAGAUACUGUUUACCUCUAGAUAGACGAGAAGACCCUAUGCAGCUUUACUGUUACUAAUUGCAAGAGUGGAAAUUUAGGAUGAUUUCGAGUGUAUAAGGUAGUUGUUUGAUAACAAUGAAACACCUUUAUUCGUUUCCUACUAUAUGCUCUUGAGGAUUGGGAGGCAGUUUAUGCGGGGCACAGAUCCCACAAAAAGUACCUGGGUAUAUCCAAAGUUCAUUUUGUAAAUUUGUAAAUUUCUUUACAAAUAUUUUAAUUUGUUAUAAUUAUAUUCAUAAUUAUACAGUUAUUGUUAGAUUAAGUUCAAUAUUUAUUUUUUAUUUAAGUAAGAUUUUAACUAUAUGGUGAAUAGAUGUAUUUUAAACUUUACUCGGAGAGGGAGUGAUCCAACUCCGGGAUAUUUAAAAGUUUUUUCUCAUAUUAAUAUUGUAUUUUAUCUUUAUUGAUAUGAUAAUUAAUUAUACUUUAAAAGUUUAAUGGCUAAAUCUUGCUUUACUGUUUGACCUACAAGUCUAUCAGUCGCGUAAGCGGGGCAUAUGAUCACAAGAUGCAUAAAGGAAAGGUCUUGGAUUAUAGAAAAAGUUACGCUAGGGAUAACAGGCUAAUUUGCGCAAGAGAGUACAAAUUGAGUGCGCGGUUUGGCACCUCGAUGUCGGCUUAGCUCAUCCACAUGAAUGCAAAAAUCAUGAAGGGUUCGACUGUUCGUCGAUUAAAGAGCUACAUGAGCUGGGUUUAAUACGUCGUGAGACAGUAUGGUUUCUAUCUUCUAGAGGGAAUUAAAGUAGAAUAAAGAUAGCCCCUUCGUACGAAAGGAGUUGGGUAUAUUGACCUAUGGUUUACCUGUUGUUUAUGUUAUAUAUUAUUAUACAUAAUAUAUCAUUUACUUAUACUUAAGUAAAUUGUUCACAUAGGCAUGGCAGGAAGGCUACGUCAGUUAAAGAUAAGUGCUGAAAGCAUUUAAGCGCGAAGCUUACUUUAGGAUACUUUUAAACGUAGUAGAACACUACGA
This 2912-nucleotide ribosomal RNA is filed under the name Aspergillus pseudocaelatus. RNAcentral's name for it is "large subunit ribosomal RNA". It matches the Rfam family "Bacterial large subunit ribosomal RNA". The record is from RNAcentral. Lineage: Eukaryota; Fungi; Ascomycota; Eurotiomycetes; Eurotiales; Aspergillaceae.